UAAUACGUAGGGGGCAAGCGUUGUCCGGACUUACUGGGCGUAAAGCGUGUGCAGGCGGGUGCCUAUGUGCCGUGUGAAAGCUCUCCGCUUAUCGGGGAGAGGUCGCGGUAGACAGGGUGCCUGGAGGCUCGGAGAGGUCAGUGGAAUUCUCGGUGUAGUGGUGAAAUGCGUAGAUAUCGAGAGGAACACCAGUGGCGCAAGCGGCUGACUGGCCGAGACCUGACGCUGAGACACGACGGCGUGGGGAGCAAACCGGAUUAGAUACCCGGGUAGUCCACGCAGUAAACGAUGCAUACCCGGUGUUGGGUGGGCUGUCAAAGGCCCGCGCAGUGCCCAAGCUUACGCGCUGAGUAUGCCGCCUGGGGACUACGAGCGCAAGCUUA
Molecule: ribosomal RNA, 383 nt
Filed under: uncultured bacterium
Lineage: Bacteria
Description: bacterial SSU rRNA
Rfam family: Bacterial small subunit ribosomal RNA
Source: RNAcentral